Molecule: ribosomal RNA, 349 nt
Filed under: uncultured bacterium
Lineage: Bacteria
Description: bacterial SSU rRNA
Rfam family: Bacterial small subunit ribosomal RNA
Source: RNAcentral
GGGCCCGCACAAGCGGUGGAGUAUGUGGUUUAAUUCGAUGCAACGCGAAGAACCUUACCAGGGUUUGACAUCCUGCGAAUCUCUUGGAAACGAGAGAGUGCCUUCGGGAACGCAGUGACAGGUGGUGCAUGGCUGUCGUCAGCUCGUGUCGUGAGAUGUUGGGUUAAGUCCCGCAACGAGCGCAACCCACGUCUUUAGUUGCCAGCAUUUAGUUGGGCACUCUGAAAGAACUGCCAGUGAUAAACCGGAGGAAGGUGUGGAUGACGUCAAGUCAUCAUGCCCCUUACAUCCUGGGCUACACACGUACUACAAUGCUACGGACAAAGGGCAGCAAGUUCGCGAGGACAAG